Molecule: long non-coding RNA, 172 nt
Organism: Sinocyclocheilus rhinocerous
Lineage: Eukaryota; Metazoa; Chordata; Actinopteri; Cypriniformes; Cyprinidae
Exons: 3
Source: RefSeq, a predicted model, not a curated record
UCAUUUGUAAACCAAUUGUAAACCACAAGAAGAAGAAACGAAAGAGAGUUCAAUUCAUUACUCACGUGCUGUUCUCGCACACAAUCAAAGCGCAAAGAGACAUGUUUCAGACAGCGCAGAAAUACCAAGUUGCGUAUACAUACACAUAAAAUUAGCCUAUGUCAAAAACCCU